UACGUAGGGUGCAAGCGUUAAUCGGAAUUACUGGGCGUAAAGCGUGCGCAGGCGGCUUUGUAAGUUUGUCGUGAAAGCCCCGGGCUCAACCUGGGAAUUGCGAUGAAGACUGCAAGGCUUGAAUCUGGCAGAGGGGGGUAGAAUUCCACGUGUAGCAGUGAAAUGCGUAGAGAUGUGGAGGAACACCGAUGGCGAAGGCAGCCCCCUGGGCCAAGAUUGACGCUCAUGCACGAAAGCGUGGGGAGCAAACAGG
This 253-nucleotide ribosomal RNA is filed under the name uncultured bacterium. RNAcentral describes it as "partial 16S ribosomal RNA". It matches the Rfam family "Bacterial small subunit ribosomal RNA", at positions 524 to 776 of the family's 1533-position model. The record is from RNAcentral.